CCUACGGGUGGCAGCAGUGGGGAAUAUUGGACAAUGGGCGAAAGCCUGAUCCAGCCAUGCCGCGUGUGUGAAGAAGGCCUUCGGGUUGUAAAGCACUUUCAGUGGGGAAGAAAGCCUUGGGGCUAAUACCCUCGAGGAAGGACAUCACCCACAGAAGAAGCACCGGCUAACUCCGUGCCAGCAGCCGCGGUAAUACGGAGGGUGCGAGCGUUAAUCGGAAUUACUGGGCGGAAAGCGCGCGUAGGCGGUCUGAUAAGCCGGUUGUGAAAGCCCCGGGCUCAACCUGGGAACGGCAUCCGGAACUGUCAGGCUAGAGUGCAGGAGAGGAAGGUAGAAUUCCCGGUGUAGCGGUGAAAUGCGUAGAGAUCGGGAGGAAUACCAGUGGCGAAGGCGGCCUUCUGGACUGACACUGACGCUGAGGUGCGAAAGCGUGGGUAGCAAACAGGAUUAGAUACCCCUGUAGUC
RNAcentral lists this ribosomal RNA (465 nucleotides) under Vreelandella stevensii. Its description in RNAcentral is "partial 16S ribosomal RNA". It matches the Rfam family "Bacterial small subunit ribosomal RNA", at positions 338 to 795 of the family's 1533-position model. The record is from RNAcentral. Lineage: Bacteria; Pseudomonadati; Pseudomonadota; Gammaproteobacteria; Oceanospirillales; Halomonadaceae.